UACGGAGGGUGCAAGCGUUAAUCGGAAUUACUGGGCGUAAAGCGUGCGCAGGCGGUUAUGUAAGACAGGUGUGAAAUCCCAGGGCUUAACCUUGGAACUGCAUUUGUGACUGCAUAGCUAGAGUACGGUAGAGGGGGAUGGAAUUCCGCGUGUAGCAGUGAAAUGCGUAGAUAUGCGGAGGAACACCGAUGGCGAAGGCAAUCCCCUGGACCUGUACUGACGCUCAUGCACGAAAGCGUGGGGAGCAAACAGG
This 253-nucleotide ribosomal RNA is filed under the name uncultured bacterium. RNAcentral's name for it is "partial 16S ribosomal RNA". It matches the Rfam family "Bacterial small subunit ribosomal RNA", at positions 524 to 776 of the family's 1533-position model. The record is from RNAcentral.